GGGGGUAAAGCUCAGUGGAGAGUAUUUGACUGCAGAUCAAGAGGUCUCUGGUUCAAGUCCAGAUGCCCCCU
RNAcentral lists this transfer RNA (71 nucleotides) under Perca fluviatilis (European perch). It matches the Rfam family "tRNA". Rfam says of the family: Transfer RNA (tRNA) molecules are approximately 80 nucleotides in length. Their secondary structure includes four short double-helical elements and three loops (D, anti-codon, and T loops). Lineage: Eukaryota; Metazoa; Chordata; Actinopteri; Perciformes; Percidae. The record is from Rfam by way of RNAcentral.